Molecule: ribosomal RNA, 803 nt
Filed under: Microphysula ingersollii
Lineage: Eukaryota; Metazoa; Mollusca; Gastropoda; Stylommatophora; Thysanophoridae
Description: partial 16S ribosomal RNA
Source: RNAcentral
UCUCGAAAUAAUUUGAGCUAUAAAUAUUUUCUUUAACCGUGGUAAAGGUUAUUUUUAAAUUAAUAUAGAAGUGAAAUACCUCUCGUAAAUUACUAUAUCUAGAUAACUUUUAAAAGUAUUUAGUACUUAACACAUUAUAGUAAUUAUUAGAUUACUAUAAAAAAGAAUUUUUUAUUUUUUAUUUCUUUUAGGUUUAUACUUUAAUUUUUUUAUUUAAAAAUAAUUAAUUUAAAAAAAAAUCUUUCUAAAAAAAGUUUAUAAUUAAAAAUAAUCUUUAAUAUAUAUAAUGUAUAAAUAAGUAAUAAAUAUUAAAAAAAUAAAAAGAACUCGGCAAUAAUUACGUUCACAAGUUUAUCAAAAACAUCGCCUAAAGAAAAUAUUUUAGGUCUUUCCUGCUCAAUGAAAAUUGUUAAAUAGCCGCAGUACUCUAACUGUGCAAAGGUAGCAUAAUAAUUUGGCUUAUAAUUGAAGUCUAGAAUGAAAGGAAGCAUGGGCGAAUUCUGUUUCUUAAUUUUUUUUUUGAAAUUAAUAAUAAGGUGAAAAUUCCUUUUAAAUUCUAUUAGACGAGAAGACCCUACAGAGCUUUUAAAAAAUACUUUUUAAUUUUUUUUUUGUUGGGGCGACAAUUAAACAUAUAACUUUAAAUUAAUUUUUUUACAAGUCCAUCUUAUUUAGAAAGAUUAAGUUACCUUAGGGAUAACAGCGUAAUUUUUUUUAAGUUUACGACCUCGAUGUUGGACUAGGAAAUUAAAUAGUUAACAACUAUAUUAAUUGGUUCUGUUCGAACUUUUUCUCCUACAUGA